GAUGAAGAACGUAGCGAAAUGCGAUAAGUAAUGUGAAUUGCAGAAUUCAGUGAAUCAUCGAAUCUUUGAACGCACCUCGCGCCCUUUGGCCAUUCCGAAGGGCAUGCCUGUUUGAGUAUCAUGAACACCUCAACUCUUCAUGGUUUUCCGUGAUGAGCUUGGACUUUGGGGGUCUUGCUGGCCUAUGGUCAGCUCCUCUAAAAUAAAUCAGCUUGCCAGUGUUUGGUGGGUAUCACAGGUGUGAUAACUAUCUACGCUUGUGGUUUUCCACCAGGUAACCUUCAGCAGUGGAGGUUCGCUGGAGCUCACAGAUGUGUCUCUCCUCAGUGAGGACAGCUCUUUGAAUGUUUGAUCUCAAAUCAGGUAGGACUACCCGCUGAACUUAAGCAUAUCAAUAAGCGGAGGA
RNAcentral lists this unclassified non-coding RNA (406 nucleotides) under soil metagenome. Its description in RNAcentral is "partial contains 5.8S ribosomal RNA, internal transcribed spacer 2, and large subunit ribosomal RNA". The stretch from base 1 to 121 matches the Rfam family "5.8S ribosomal RNA", at positions 35 to 154 of the family's 154-position model. The record is from RNAcentral.